RNAcentral lists this ribosomal RNA (558 nucleotides) under uncultured Bacillota bacterium. RNAcentral's name for it is "bacterial SSU rRNA". It matches the Rfam family "Bacterial small subunit ribosomal RNA", at positions 97 to 670 of the family's 1533-position model. The record is from RNAcentral. Lineage: Bacteria; Bacillati; Bacillota.
GGCGAACGGGUGAGUAACACGUGGGCAAUCUGCCCUCUGGAGCGGGAUAACAGACCGAAAGGCCUGCUAAUACCGCAUGAGGCCGGACCUUCGCAUGGAGGACCGGUCAAAGGGGAAACCCGCCGGAGGAGGAGCCCGCGUCCCAUUAGCUAGUUGGCGGAGUAACGGCCCACCAAGGCGAUGAUGGGUAGCCGGCCUGAGAGGGUGAACGGCCACAUUGGGACUGAGACACGGCCCAGACUCCUACGGGGGGCAGCAGUGAGGGAUUUUCGGCAAUGGGCGAAAGCCUGACCGAGCGACGCCGCGUGAGCGAAGAAGGCCUUCGGGUCGUAAAGCUCUGUCUAGGGGGAAGAGGAAGGACGGUACCCCUGGAGGAAGCCACGGCUAACUACGUGCCAGCAGCCGCGGUAAUACGUAGGUGGCGAGCGUUGUCCGGAAUUACUGGGCGUAAAGGGCGCGCAGGCGGUUCGUUAAGUCUGGGGUGAAAUCCUUCGGCUCAACCGGAGGGGGACCCUGGAUACUGGCGGGCUUGAGUGUGGGAGAGGGAAGCGGAAUUCC